RNAcentral lists this ribosomal RNA (254 nucleotides) under uncultured bacterium. RNAcentral describes it as "partial 16S ribosomal RNA". It matches the Rfam family "Bacterial small subunit ribosomal RNA", at positions 524 to 776 of the family's 1533-position model. The record is from RNAcentral.
UACGUAGGGAGCAAGCGUUGUCCGGAAUCAUUGGGCGUAAAGGGCGCGUAGGCGGCCGUCCAAGUCGGGUGUGAAAUCCCUCGGCUCAACCGGGGAACUGCGUCCGAUACUGGCGAGGCUUGAAUCCGGGAGAGGGAUGUGGAAUUCCAGGUGUAGCGGUGAAAUGCGUAGAUAUCUGGAGGAACACCGGUGGCGAAGGCGGCAUCCUGGACCGGUAUUGACGCUGAGGCGCGAAAGCCAGGGGAGCAAACGGG